UGGGAAUUUUUAGGGAAAGUUUCUUCAAGAUGGCUGGUGAUUGGGAAGGGCUAAUUACUAAUUGUGUACACCUGCAAAGGAGUGCUUUUGGCAGUGAUGGAAAGGGACAAUGAACAGGGAAGAUGAAAUGCUCUUAAGCAGAGGGGAAGAAAAGAUGCAAGAAGAAAACAAAAAAGAAAAUAACUCCAAGGAAAAGAGAGAGAAGCUCGGAGGGAAGUUGGCUCCAGAGGAAAGAGAGGUCCUCGAGAAUGAAAUUCUGGUGGCACAGUCCUGAUUGAUUCUGAUGAGGAAGACAAAGUGUAGAUUUUCAAAGAGACCAAUGUGGCUAUAUGGGGAACUCAUUACUGGAAGCAAAAGCAGCUCAUUUUGAAGAUGAGGAAACAGAGGCAAACAGGAUUGAAUGACUUUCCCAGAAUCACACAGCUCAUUGGGCAGAUUGUCUCCUAUAUAAUAACUUCUUUGUGCUUCCAUGGAGCCCUGAAUGUCAAACUGAUGGAAUUCCAGACCAAUCUGGUGUCCUACCCGCACAUCUACUUUCCCCUGGCUACCUAUGCCCUCAUAACAUCAGCCUAA
This 573-nucleotide long non-coding RNA is filed under the name Monodelphis domestica (gray short-tailed opossum). RNAcentral describes it as "lncRNA (ENSMODG00000047518.1)". The record is from RNAcentral. Lineage: Eukaryota; Metazoa; Chordata; Mammalia; Didelphimorphia; Didelphidae.